AACGAACGCUGGCGGCAUGCCUAACACAUGCAAGUCGAACGAGACCUUCGUGUCUAGUGGCGCACGUGUGCGUAACGCGUGGUAACCUGCCCUUAGGUUCGCAAUAACUCCCCGAAAGGGGUGCUAAUACCGGAUAAUGUCUUCGGACCAAAGAUUUAUCGCCUUUGGAUGGGCCCUCGUUGGAUUAGCUAGUUGGUAGGGUAAAAGCAUACCAAGGCGACGAUCCAUAGCUGGUCUGAGAGGAUGAUCAGCCACACUGGGACUGAGACACGGCCCAGACUCCUACGGGAGGCAGCAGUGGGGAAUAUUAGACAAUGGGCGAAAGCCUGAUCCAGCAAUGCCGCGUGAGUGAUGAAGGGCUUAGGGUUGUAAAGCUCUUUUACCCGGGAUGAUAAUGACAGUAACGGGAGAAUAAGCUCCGGCUAACUCCGUG
This 433-nucleotide ribosomal RNA is filed under the name uncultured bacterium. RNAcentral's name for it is "partial 16S ribosomal RNA". It matches the Rfam family "Bacterial small subunit ribosomal RNA", at positions 29 to 507 of the family's 1533-position model. The record is from RNAcentral.